This is a non-coding RNA of Ruminococcus sp. CAG:330, 128 nucleotides long. NCBI's taxonomy places the organism in Bacteria, Bacillati, Bacillota, Clostridia, Eubacteriales, Oscillospiraceae. The record is from Rfam.
GCUAUGCAACAUCGUAUUCUAAAGACAGUUGGUGGCAUAUGCCGUAAAUCCAACCGAGGAAUGUGCAAUGAUUUUUCUGUGAUACACAGCGCACGAUUCCUAGCGGAUCGUGUUUUUUUAUUGCGAUU